GAUGAAGAACGUAGCGAAAUGCGAUAAGUAAUGCGAAUUGCAGAAUUCCAGUGAGUCAUCGAAUCUUUGAACGCACAUUGCGCCCUUUGGUAUUCCGGGGGGCAUGCCUGUUCGAGCGUCAUUAUAACCCCUCAAGCUCAGCUUGGUGUUGGGGCCUGCCGACUGGCAGCCCUUAAAAUCAGUGGCGGCGCCAUCUGGCUCUAAGCGUAGUAAUUUCUCUCGCUAUAGAGUCCCGGUGGAUGCUUGCCAGCAACCCCCAACUUUCUAUGGUUGACCUCGGAUCAGGUAGGGAUACCCGCUGAACUUAAGCAUAUCAAUAAGCGGAGGA
RNAcentral lists this unclassified non-coding RNA (328 nucleotides) under soil metagenome. RNAcentral's name for it is "partial contains 5.8S ribosomal RNA, internal transcribed spacer 2, and large subunit ribosomal RNA". The stretch from base 1 to 121 matches the Rfam family "5.8S ribosomal RNA", at positions 35 to 154 of the family's 154-position model. The record is from RNAcentral.